Molecule: ribosomal RNA, 489 nt
Filed under: uncultured bacterium
Lineage: Bacteria
Description: partial 16S ribosomal RNA
Rfam family: Bacterial small subunit ribosomal RNA
Source: RNAcentral
AUUGAACGCUGGCGGCAGGCCUAACACAUGCAAGUCGAACGGUAACAGGAAGCAGCUUGCUGCUUCGCUGACGAGUGGCGGACGGGUGAGUAAUGUCUGGGAAACUGCCUGAUGGAGGGGGAUAACUACUGGAAACGGUAGCUAAUACCGCAUAACGUCGCAAGACCAAAGAGGGGGACCUUAGGGCCUCUUGCCAUCGGAUGUGCCCAGAUGGGAUUAGCUAGUAGGUGGGGUAACGGCUCACCUAGGCGACGAUCCCUAGCUGGUCUGAGAGGAUGACCAGCCACACUGGAACUGAGACACGGUCCAGACUCCUACGGGAGGCAGCAGUGGGGAAUAUUGCACAAGGGGCGCAAGCCUGAUGCAGCCAUGCCGCGUGUAUGAAGAAGGCCUUCGGGUUGUAAAGUACUUUCAGCGGGAGGAAGGGAGUAAAGUUAAUACCUUUGCUCAUUGACGUUACCCGCAGAAGAAGCACCGGCUAACUCCGUG